This 53-nucleotide small nuclear RNA is filed under the name synthetic construct. The record is from RNAcentral.
GGGCAAUUGGCAGAUCAAGCGUUUGUGUAGCGCUUGAUCUGCCAAUUGCCCUU